This 460-nucleotide ribosomal RNA is filed under the name uncultured bacterium. Its description in RNAcentral is "partial 16S ribosomal RNA". It matches the Rfam family "Bacterial small subunit ribosomal RNA", at positions 338 to 795 of the family's 1533-position model. The record is from RNAcentral.
CCUACGGGUGGCAGCAGUGAGGAAUAUUGGUCAAUGGCCGUAAGGCUGAACCAGCCAUGUAGCGUGCGGGAAGACUGCCCUAUGGGUUGUAAACCUCUUUUAUGCGGGGAUAAACGUGUCCACGCGUGUAUGUUUGCAGGUACCGCAUGAAUAAGGACCGGCUAAUUCCGUGCCAGCAGCCGCGGUAAUACGGAGGGUCCGGGCGUUAUCCGGAUUUAUUGGGUUUAAAGGGAGCGUAGGUGGAUUGUUAAGUCAGUUGUGAAAGUUUGCGGCUCAACGGUAAAAUUGCAGUUGAUACUGGCAGUCUUGAGUACAGUAGCGGUGGGCGGAAUUCGUGGUGUAGCGGUGAAAUGCUUAGAUAUCACGAAGAACUCCGAUUGCGAAGGCAGCUCACUGGACUGCAACUGACACUGAGGCUCGAAAGUGUGGGUAUCAAACAGGAUUAGAUACCCGAGUAGUC